AUGUGUAAACACCUGAUGACAAAUCCGAAUCUGAAAAGGUGGAAAAGGCAGUGGGUUUAAUGGGUUUUAACGCAAAAGCGUGCAUGUGUUUGAACUCAGAGCAUCAAAGGGAAAAGGGCUGUUUCUCCAGUAAUGUAUUUUUUAUUCCUCAUUCUUUUUUAUAGCCUUUGCUAUUAAUUUUUCAGAUUUUCUGGUCUUUUACAAGUUAGCAAACUGUACUGCAACACUUGUAUUUCAGAUUUUCCUAACUGGAUUGAAAAGAACCUGGAACCGACCUCAGAGGCAGCUGGAGUUAAGUGAAGUCAAUGGAACUGCUGCCAAGGAGAGGGUUGCGAGUGCAGCCAGCAUGGGAAAGGAUACAACCUCUAUGGAAACGUUUCCUCCUCUGUGCCUGCUGCAAGUGGCACACAAUGGAUCGUCAUUAUUCAACAGAGACUCUAAGUGCCAUGAAAAAGAAAUAAUUAAACUACAACUAUUUCAGUAGAUAAGUUUGGUUUUAUGAUAGCUGACACGGUACAUGGCCUGGGAGUUUCGCACAAAUACUUUAGGAGGAGGAAAUGCUGUUUAACUUCCAUUGAAAGAGAGAAGAAAUGCACACCUGCAUACCCAGGAUUCUCCAACUCCACAGCUGGGAGCUCCAGGACCAUGGCUUGUGCAUUUCAAAGAAAGAAAACUAAAAUCCUGCUGUUUCUACUGUUAUUUUUCCCAUCUUGCCAGACUUUCAUAUGACAGUCUGUGCUUGGGGACUCAAAACAAAAAGAUGAGAUUAAUU
Pezoporus flaviventris is the source of this 772-nucleotide long non-coding RNA. RefSeq lists it as uncharacterized. Lineage: Eukaryota; Metazoa; Chordata; Aves; Psittaciformes; Psittacidae. The transcript is spliced from 4 exons. The record is from RefSeq and is a predicted model, not a curated record.